CAGCCGCCGCGGGAAUACGGAGGAUCCAAGCGUUAUCCGGAAUCAUUGGGUUUAAAGGGUCCGUAGGCGGUCUUGUAAGUCAGUGGUGAAAGCCCAUCGCUCAACGGUGGAAAGGCCAUUGAUACUGCAGGACUUGAAUUAUUGGGAAGUAACUAGAAUAUGUAGUGUAGCGGUGAAAUGCUUAGAGAUUACAUGGAAUACCAAUUGCGAAGGCAGGUUACUACCAAUUGAUUGACGCUGAUGGACGAAAGCGUGGGUAGCAAACAGGAUUAGAUACCCGAGUAGUCCCUGUCUCUUAUAC
Molecule: ribosomal RNA, 301 nt
Filed under: uncultured bacterium
Lineage: Bacteria
Description: partial 16S ribosomal RNA
Rfam family: Bacterial small subunit ribosomal RNA
Source: RNAcentral